This 253-nucleotide ribosomal RNA is filed under the name uncultured bacterium. RNAcentral's name for it is "partial 16S ribosomal RNA". It matches the Rfam family "Bacterial small subunit ribosomal RNA", at positions 524 to 776 of the family's 1533-position model. The record is from RNAcentral.
UACGAAGGGGGCUAGCGUUGUUCGGAAUUACUGGGCGUAAAGCGUGCGCAGGCGGCUUCUCAAGUCAGGGGUGAAAGCCCAGAGCUCAACUCUGGAAUUGCCUUUGAGACUGAGUGGCUUGAGUACGAGAGAGGUGAGUGGAAUUCCCAGUGUAGAGGUGAAAUUCGUAGGUAUUGGGAAGAACACCGGUGGCGAAGGCGGCCCCCUGGGCCGGCCCUGACACUGAGACGCGAAGGCGUGGGGAGCGAACGGG